RNAcentral lists this ribosomal RNA (312 nucleotides) under uncultured Glomeromycotina. RNAcentral describes it as "LSU rRNA". The record is from RNAcentral. Lineage: Eukaryota; Fungi; Glomeromycota.
UUGAAAGGGAAACGAUUGAAGUCAGUCAUGCUGGUGGGAAUCAACUUAGGGGAAACUCUAGGUGCACUUCUUCGCUUGGCAGGUUAACGUCGAUCUUGAAUGCCAUAAAAUAAUUGGGGGAAGGUAGCUCUUUCGGGAGUGUUAUAGCCCUUGGUAGAUGUGAUGUCUGGGAUCGAGGAUUGCAACGGAUACCCUUUGGGGCUAGCCGCCUGAUCUCUAAUCGGUGUUGGGUUACGGAUAGCAUGCUGACCGUGAUCUAAUUACUGGUUAAAAGGUUAGAGUGUGCAUAAAUUCGUUAAGGAUGUUGACGUA